GAUGAACGCUGGCGGCGUGCCUAAUACAUGCAAGUCGAGCGAACGGACGAGAAGCAUGCUUUUCUGAUGUUAGCGGCGGACGGGUGAGUAACGCGUGGAUAACCUACCUAUAAGACUGGGAUAACUUCGGGAAACCGGAGCUAAUACCGGAUAAUAUUUUGAACCGCAUGGUUCAAAAGUGAAAGACGGUCUUGCUGUCACUUAUAGAUGGAUCCGCGCUGCAUUAGCUAGUUGGUAAGGUAACGGCUUACCAAGGCAACGAUGCAUAGCCGACCUGAGAGGGUGAUCGGCCACACUGGAACUGAGACACGGUCCAGACUCCUACGGGAGGCAGCAGUAGGGAAUCUUCCGCAAUGGGCGAAAGCCUGACGGAGCAACGCCGCGUGAGUGAUGAAGGUCUUCGGAUCGUAAAACUCUGUUAUUAGGGAAGAACAUAUGUGUAAGUAACUGUGCACAUCUUGACGGUACCUAAUCAGAAAGCCACGGCUAACUACGUG
This 497-nucleotide ribosomal RNA is filed under the name uncultured bacterium. RNAcentral describes it as "partial 16S ribosomal RNA". It matches the Rfam family "Bacterial small subunit ribosomal RNA", at positions 28 to 507 of the family's 1533-position model. The record is from RNAcentral.